UAGAGUAAAGCAUUUAAUUUUUGAUGCAAGAAAGUGUUAUUUUCUAGAAAAUAACUCUAG
RNAcentral lists this transfer RNA (60 nucleotides) under Trichuris mastomysi. RNAcentral's name for it is "tRNA-Asn". The record is from RNAcentral. Lineage: Eukaryota; Metazoa; Nematoda; Enoplea; Trichinellida; Trichuridae.